AUGUCGGCCUCCCGGUGUCCUAGGAACGCUGGUUGCCUAGAGACGCGAGGAUGGCUGCCAGCCCAGGGGCGAUUUACAGGCCUCUUCGUGUGAGCUGUCUGGACUUCGUCACAGCAGGCCAGCCUCAGGGCAGUUGGACAGCUGACCUGGCAGCUGAGUCUUCACUGCUGAGCAUUCAUUUGAGCGAGGUGGAAGCUGCAGCUCCUUUGAUGACCGUGCCUUGGGAACCACACAGCUUCAUUUCUGCUGCAUCCCGCCAGCUAUGAGCAAUUCUCCAGCCCAUCUGGAUUCAAGGAGCAGGGGGCAUAGACCUCCCUUCCCAGUGGGCGGAAUGGCACAGUCACAUUGUCAUAUUGUCGAAGAGGAUGCUGCGUAGGAAAUAUUGUUGCAGCCAUCUUUGGGAAACAGCUUACCACAGCCUGCCUCUCUGGCUUUAACAGUUCACAUCUGUAAGCUAUACUCAUCUCCUCCAAGACCCCAAUGUCUCACCAAUCAUGGCAGCAGGUUGAAGUCCAGGACCUCAUCACCUAAAUCAGCUACUGCCGCACCAGAGGCUCUUUGGGACUGCUCCCUAGGGUGCAGCUCCUUAGGUGCUACUCCUCUCAGUCUGAAGACCUGCGAACUAAAGGACAAGUUAUUGUCAUCUUACACACCCAAAAUAUAAUAGUGGGGCAGACAUAGGAAAUCUGCUCCCAUUCAAAACCGGGGACAACAGGAGUCCCCACAAGGCAGCCACGGGCCCAUAGAAAUUCCUAAGUCCUGCUGGGUCCGUGUAGGGUUCACUCCUGCUCACUUGGAGUUCAGAGCUCUUGGCUGCACCCUCUGUGUCUAAGCCUGCCUUCCUUCCUUAUGCAUAAAAAUGACCCAUGUUUGCAAGUGAGUAUCCUUCUCAGCCCCCUUCCUGCCCCAAAAAGGCUGUGAGUCCAAAGAUCUCUUUUUAUUUUGGACAGGUUGAUAGGGCUGUUUUAAAAACUUUGUGGCAUCUGUGCAUGUAUUUAUACUAUCUUUCUGUUUAUAAUUAGCUUUUGUUUUUUCCACUUUUUGCCGUGAGUCCUCCAAUUAACCCAUACUUCUACCAUAAUUUUGUCCGGUAUUUUUCUUUCUACUCAAACACUUUCCAAUUUCACCAUUUUUCUUUAUUAGCCACUCAUGUUAGCCCCUUAGUUAGCAUCUCUGCAACCUCAAGAAAUGGAAAAUAUUCUUGGGAAUUGAGGUUGUCAUGAAGUUUUCUUCAAAAUGAUUCUCCGCCCGGGUCUGCAAUUGAGUUCUUGGAACUUACCGACUGACUCCAUGGCCCACCUCACUGAGGGCUUGUUGAUUGACCUCUAUUCUUAAAGAGGUAAGCUCCCAAUUUUCUGUUCUGAGAGUAUUUUGGUAGAGAAGGAGUUUGGUAGUUGUACAUAUGUGUUGUUGGGGGAUACAUAGGAAAUGAGAAAAAAAAACCUUGUGGGUUUUUAUGUAUCAAUUAGGCAAAAGCCACAUCCCCCCGAAAUCUCUUGGAGAUUAAGACUCUGUCUGCCUUGGGCUCUCUGUGGGCUUUCCGUGAGAGCACAGCCUGAAGACUCUUAGCAGCUCUAUUAGGAGAGAGGGUCCACAGAGGUAUUCCCCUGAGAUCCUUAGGAGGCUUUUUUUGGGGGUCUGAAGGGGUUCAUGAGGCACCCCCUUAGAUCCUUCUGAAAUCUUACCUCAGGACAUUAUAGUCCCUGAGGAACUUCUUACUUUGAGAACUUUUACUAGCUGAAAAGACUGUUCUGGGCCAUUUCACAUUUCCUCCAGGGAAUGGUUCAUUUUUCAGUUCUUCUCUCCCUCUCUCGUUUUAUUGUAAUUAGUGAGAAGAGGCCAGGUAGCACCUGGACGCUGUGCCUAGGAAACUCUUAGCUGGACUAUUGGAGGGCAUUAGGUACAUUUUCUAUUUUCCAUUUACAUUAGGUGACAGUAUUGAGCAACUUUCUGCCACCACAUAACAAAGUCCCCUUCUCUCCAUGUUCCCAUAACACUAUCCUCAUGUUCCUUCAAGCCCUCAACAGCAACUUCCUUGAUGACCUUAGGGUCUACUAAUACCCUCCCUAAGGGCCCUGCAGGCUUUCACUCAUGUUUUCCUCAAGAGACGAGCCAGUGCCAAAGCCAGUGGCACAUGUUUUAAGACUUUGUUACAGUAGCACUCCACUUCCAAUACCAGAUUUCUGUUACAAUUACUGUUGCUGCCUAUAAUAUCACCCCAAAACUCUAUAGUGUAUGGAACAAAGAUGUUACUGUCUCUCAUGGUUUCUGUUGGUCAGGAAUUCAGGGAAGGUCUGGCUGGCAGUGCUGGUGCAGGAGCUCUCAUGCCAUUGCUGUCCGUCAGCUGCUGGAGCUAGAGAGUGUGGCAUUGGGACAUAUGGGGCGGAUGGUCUCUCUUUCUCUGCAGGUAGCCUCAGAGCCUCGCUAGGUGUUUAGAUGGACUCUGAGGUUUCCUCCUAGCACCACAGCCCGAGGGGACUGCUCACAUGGUAGCCAAAAGCUUCAAGAACAAGUACUCCAGCGAGGAAAGCGGAAGCGGCAUUGCCUUUCGCGGUGUGGGAAGCCACGAGGCAGCACUUCCAUCAUUGUCUUCCGCUACAGGCGAGUCUGCGGCCAACAAGACUCGCAAUGGGAGGAGUGGCACAGCCACGCUGUAGAAGAGGAUGUGAGAUGGAAAAGAAAACUUGCCACAUGUCAAAAAUGGUCCCUUAUUGGUAAUUUCAUAUAGUUCAGCCUAAUACAGACAUGUAUGAAUGGGUGGAGAAAGAAACCUGGAUUCCAUUUUAUUCAGAAAAUUUUCAUCUAUUAGAUUGACCUAUAAUUAUUUUUUUCCCUACUGUCUCCAGAUUUGCUUGCGAAGAUUAUACCAGGAUUGUAAAAUGAAUUUUGGAGUAAUCUAUCCUUUCAAAAUUAUUGUAACACUGUUUGUAUAACAUAGUGAUGAUCAAGUCCUUCCAUGUUUGGUGAAAUUUUACUGCUCAAUAAUCUAGGCUUGCUACAUUUCAUGAAGUAAAACGCAAGAGGAGAGAGAUAAAUUGAAGAAUGAGUGUUAAACAUAAAGGAAGCAGUUCUUGAAGAUUUGGAAGACUCUCAGCCUAUUCAUAUUGCCAAAAAUGAAAAAGCAUGCUGUGGAGAGAAUACCUAGAGUGUGGCCGGACAAUGUUUGCUAAAGAGCUGAGGUGUGUGACUUGUGAAUCCAACUAUCUCAGCAGAAAUGCCACCAACUUGGACUGAAGGGGACAGAGAAGGGCUGAAAUGAAGGAAUGUUGUUGGACUUCUUGGAUUCUAUAGGCAGGAAAUGGGCUGAUAGAGCUAGCUAGCUGUGAACAUGGGUUGUCCUUAAGAAAAGGGAAGAAUGACCCUGAUGGCAGGAACACUUCUUUGGUUCCAGAGGGUGAAGCCACCUUUUCAAUUCCAGAGGCCUUGUCCACCACUCAGGGAUGAGGGGGCAGGGCCACCAGCCCAGUGGGCUCAAAGGACAGAGCAUUUAGCCAAAGAGUAUUAUUCUCAAGCCUUAAAAUCUCAUGGAAUUUGCCCUGCUUGGUUUUGUACUUGCUUGGGACUCCACAUCCUUUUUCCUGACUUUUCCCUCUGGAAUGGGAAUAUCUAUCCUAUGCCUGUCUGCUCAUUGUAUUUUGGAAGCAGGUAAUUUGCUGUCUAGCUUCACGGGUUCACAGAUGAAAGGAAUAUUGCCCCAGGCUGAACCAUACCCAAGUCUCACCCAUAAGCUGACUUACAUGAUAUCUUGGACAGAGUUCAUGCUGGAAUAGAUUGAACUUUUGGGGGAUGUGGGCUGAGGUGAAUAAUUUGCAGGUGGAAAGAACAUAAAUGGGGGGCGGGGGGGAAGAGGGCAGACCGUGAUGGGUUGAAUUCUGUCCUUUCAAAAAAGGUACAUUGGAUUCCUAACCCCCAGCACCUCAGAAUGUGAAGUUAAUUAGACACAGGGUCUUUACAGGGAUAAUGAAGUUGACAUUAGAUCAUUAGGGUGAGAACUAGGCCAGUGUGACUGGUGCCCUUACAAAAAGAGGAAAUCUGGACAGAGAGCUGGUGACAAUGAGGCAUGGGGUAUAGGUAGAAUAAGCUUCCUCCUGCUGUCUCAGAGAAGGGAAGGGGCCCUACCUCAGGAGUCGGCAGGUUUUGUGGGUAAUACAGUGUCUGCCACAACAAUUCAAUGCUGCCAGGACAGUGCAAAAGCAGCCACACAACACAGAAAUGAUGCAUCGGGCUAUGUCCCAGUAAACCUUGAUUUAUGGGCACUGAAAUUUGCAUUUCAAAUAAUUUUCUCAUUUCAUGAAACAGUUUUGAUCUUUUUUCAACCAUUUAAAAAUGUAAAAGUUUCUUAGCUUGCCAUCCAUACAAAUAUAGGCAGCAAGCUGUAUUUGGUCUGAGGGCUGUAGUUUGCCAACAUCUAGUCUAUAUCAGUAAGUGAAGAGCAUACAGUGCAUAAUGUAUCAGGAGUUUGCCAGGCUGAGUUCUCCGAUACCUCUCAGAUAUCUCUACUUGAAUUAUUGAGAGAUUUUCUAAACCAAAGCAUGUUUACAUAAGGGAUAGUGAGCAUUCGAAGUGGACGACUUUUUAAUUUGGCAAGCCAUAUAUGUAUUUGAUUUCCACCAUCUCAACCCUGCAGCUAUGAGUGAGCAAUUAUUUCAGCAAUGUUUAAUACUCUGCCUUGAGAUGAGAUCUCAGGGCUUCAAGUCUGUCAUUGUUGUGUUUAAGAGCUAAUGUGACCAGAAGGAGCCAUCUCAUUUCCUGUCCCAGAUUUCCUCAUAAAUUUAAAACUCUUCUAUGGUAACAAUUCUUCAGUGUUCCCAGAAUCUGAUCAUCAGGGGCCACAAGGUUCUUGGUGUACACAGACAAUAAUGCUAUUUCAUACUAUGGGCUAAAAAGUUCCCAUCUUGGAAUAUAAACAAGAAUCUGAGAGCCAGCCCUGAUGGCCUAGCAGUUAAAGUUUGGCACACUCUGCUUCAGCAGCCUGGGUUUGCUUCCCAGACGUGGAACCACACCACUUGUCUGUCAGUAGCCACGUUGUGGCAGCAGCUCACAUAGAGAACUAGAAGAGUUUACAACUAUAUACAACGAUGUACUGAGUCUUUGCGGGGGCGGGGGGGGGGGGUUGGUUGUCAACAGCUGUUAGCUUAGGGCAAAUCUUCCCCUGCAAAAACACACAAAAAUAAACAAAUGAAAGACUCUGAAACAUUUCCU
Molecule: non-coding RNA, 5202 nt
Organism: Equus caballus (horse)
Lineage: Eukaryota; Metazoa; Chordata; Mammalia; Perissodactyla; Equidae
Source: RefSeq, a predicted model, not a curated record